MicroRNA precursor from Equus caballus (horse), 135 nucleotides. The record is from Ensembl. NCBI's taxonomy places the organism in Eukaryota, Metazoa, Chordata, Mammalia, Perissodactyla, Equidae.
GUCCAGUCGCCUCGGCCCGAGUCCCCUCCGCCUUUGACAGGACACAGCUGGGGUUGUGCGGGAGGGGCUCAGCCCUCAUAAUGGUCAGUGGUCUCGUCUGUGCUGGGGGCGCGGGAUUCUAACGAGAAGUGUCUG